GCAGUUACUGUUAACUGAAUACAUAGGUUAACAGAGCAAACCGGGGGAACUGAAACAUCUAAGUACCCCGAGGAGAAGAAAUCAACCGAGAUUCCGGUAGUAGCGGCGAGCGAACCUGGAUUAGCCCUUAAGCACUCGGUGAAGUAGGUGAACAAGCUGGAAAGCUUGGCGAUACAGGGUGAUAGCCCCGUAACCGACGCUUCAUCGAGCGUGAAAUCGAGUAGGGCGGGACACGUGAUAUCCUGUCUGAAUAUGGGGGGACCAUCCUCCAAGGCUAAAUACUCCUGACUGACCGAUAGUGAACCAGUACCGUGAGGGAAAGGCGAAAAGAACCCCUGUGAGGGGAGUGAAAUAGAACCUGAAACCGUGUACGUACAAGCAGUAGGAGCACCUUCGUGGUGUGACUGCGUACCUUUUGUAUAAUGGGUCAGCGACUUAUAUUCAGUGGCAAGGUUAACCGUAUAGGGGAGCCGUAGCGAAAGCGAGUCUUAACUGGGCGCUCAGUCUCUGGAUAUAGACCCGAAACCGGGUGAUCUAGCCAUGGGCAGGUUGAAGGUUGAGUAACAUCAACUGGAGGACCGAACCGACUAAUGUUGAAAAAUUAGCGGAUGACUUGUGGCUAGGGGUGAAAGGCCAAUCAAACUCGGAGAUAGCUGGUUCUCCCCGAAAGCUAUUUAGGUAGCGCCUCGGACGAAUACUACUGGGGGUAGAGCACUGUUAAGGCUAGGGGGUCAUCCCGACUUACCAACCCUUUGCAAACUCCGAAUACCAGUAAGUACUAUCCGGGAGACACACGGCGGGUGCUAACGUCCGUCGUGGAGAGGGAAACAACCCAGACCGCCAGCUAAGGUCCCAAAGUAUUGCUAAGUGGGAAACGAUGUGGGAAGGCUCAGACAGCUAGGAUGUUGGCUUAGAAGCAGCCAUCAUUUAAAGAAAGCGUAAUAGCUCACUAGUCGAGUCGGCCUGCGCGGAAGAUGUAACGGGGCUAAGCAAUACACCGAAGCUGCGGCAAUAUCUUUUAGAUAUUGGGUAGGGGAGCGUUCUGUAAGCCGUUGAAGGUGAAUCGUAAGGUUUGCUGGAGGUAUCAGAAGUGCGAAUGCUGACAUGAGUAACGACAAAGGGGGUGAAAAACCUCCUCGCCGGAAGACCAAGGGUUCCUGUCCAACGUUAAUCGGGGCAGGGUGAGUCGACCCCUAAGGUGAGGCCGAAAGGCGUAAUCGAUGGGAAACGGGUUAAUAUUCCCGUACUUCUGACUAUUGCGAUGGGGGGACGGAGAAGGCUAGGUGGGCCAGGCGACGGUUGUCCUGGUUCAAGUGCGUAGGCUUGAGAGUUAGGUAAAUCCGGCUCUCUCUAAGGCUGAGACACGACGUCGAGCUGCUACGGCAGUGAAGUCAUUGAUGCCAUGCUUCCAGGAAAAGCCUCUAAGCUUCAGAUAGUCAGGAAUCGUACCCCAAACCGACACAGGUGGUCGGGUAGAGAAUACCAAGGCGCUUGAGAGAACUCGGGUGAAGGAACUAGGCAAAAUGGUACCGUAACUUCGGGAGAAGGUACGCUCUUGAUGGUGAAGUCCCUCGCGGAUGGAGCUGACGAGAGUCGCAGAUACCAGGUGGCUGCAACUGUUUAUUAAAAACACAGCACUGUGCAAAAUCGCAAGAUGACGUAUACGGUGUGACGCCUGCCCGGUGCCGGAAGGUUAAUUGAUGGGGUUAGCGCAAGCGAAGCUCUUGAUCGAAGCCCCGGUAAACGGCGGCCGUAACUAUAACGGUCCUAAGGUAGCGAAAUUCCUUGUCGGGUAAGUUCCGACCUGCACGAAUGGCGUAAUGAUGGCCACGCUGUCUCCACCCGAGACUCAGUGAAAUUGAAAUCGCUGUGAAGAUGCAGUGUACCCGCGGCUAGACGGAAAGACCCCGUGAACCUUUACUACAGCUUGGCACUGAACAUUGAACCUACAUGUGUAGGAUAGGUGGGAGGCUAUGAAGACGUGACGCCAGUUGCGUUGGAGCCGUCCUUGAAAUACCACCCUUGUAUGUUUGAUGUUCUAACUUAGACCCGUUAUCCGGGUUGAGGACAGUGCCUGGUGGGUAGUUUGACUGGGGCGGUCUCCUCCCAAAGAGUAACGGAGGAGCACGAAGGUGGGCUAAUCACGGUUGGACAUCGUGAGGUUAGUGCAAUGGCAUAAGCCCGCUUAACUGCGAGAAUGACGGUUCGAGCAGGUGCGAAAGCAGGUCAUAGUGAUCCGGUGGUUCUGUAUGGAAGGGCCAUCGCUCAACGGAUAAAAGGUACUCCGGGGAUAACAGGCUGAUACCGCCCAAGAGUUCAUAUCGACGGCGGUGUUUGGCACCUCGAUGUCGGCUCAUCACAUCCUGGGGCUGAAGUCGGUCCCAAGGGUAUGGCUGUUCGCCAUUUAAAGUGGUACGCGAGCUGGGUUUAGAACGUCGUGAGACAGUUCGGUCCCUAUCUGCCGUGGGCGUUGGAAGAUUGAAGGGGGCUGCUCCUAGUACGAGAGGACCGGAGUGGACGAACCUCUGGUGUUCGGGUUGUGUCGCCAGACGCAUUGCCCGGUAGCUAAGUUCGGAAUUGAUAAGCGCUGAAAGCAUCUAAGCGCGAAGCGAGCCCUGAGAUGAGUCUUCCC
This 2632-nucleotide ribosomal RNA is filed under the name Vibrio cholerae. Its description in RNAcentral is "partial 23S ribosomal RNA". It matches the Rfam family "Bacterial large subunit ribosomal RNA". Lineage: Bacteria; Pseudomonadati; Pseudomonadota; Gammaproteobacteria; Vibrionales; Vibrionaceae. The record is from RNAcentral.